Molecule: ribosomal RNA, 448 nt
Filed under: uncultured bacterium
Lineage: Bacteria
Description: bacterial SSU rRNA
Rfam family: Bacterial small subunit ribosomal RNA
Source: RNAcentral
ACUCCUACGGGAGGCAGCAGUGGGGAAUAUUGCACAAUGGGCGCAAGCCUGAUGCAGCAACGCCGCGUGAGCGAAGAAGGUCUUCGGAUCGUAAAGCUUCUUUUCUUAGGGAAGAAACUGACGGUACCUAAGGAAUAAGCACCGGCUAAAUACGUGCCAGCAGCCGCGGUAAUACGUAUGGUGCAAGCGUUAUCCGGAAUCACUGGGCGUAAAGGGUGCGUAGGCGGUUUUGCAAGUCAGAAGUGAAAGGCUACGGCUCAACCGUAGUAAGCUUUUGAAACUGCAAGACUAGAGUGCAGGAGAGGAAAGUGGAAUUCCUAGUGUAGAGGUGAAAUUCGUAGAUAUUAGGAGGAACACCAGUGGCGAAGGCGACUUUCUGGACUGUAACUGACGCUGAUGCACGAAAGCGUGGGGAGCGAACAGGAUUAGAUACCCUGGUAGCACAGAG